GACUUACUCUGCUUUGUCUUUUUGCUAUAGAAUUUAACCAUUGGCCCAUCAACCUCUAGCUCUCUGGAUCCUGACCUGCCUGUGCAGCAACUGAGUAUCCAUAUAAUUUUAGAAGAAACUGCAGAAACCAGAAGAUUAAACAUUUCAUAGCAGGGCACCAGCAGCAGACAACAUGGUGGGGUGAACCUCCCAGUAGGUGAGUCACUGCUGCUUGCCAGGGUGAGAUGGUGGUGACAUUGGUGCAUUGCAAAAGCCCCAGUGAGGUCAGUCCUGUGGUCCUGACAGUGCUUUUGCACCACACUGCCCUGCCUGCUGCCUCACCCUUCGCAGUAAGCAUCAGAGACUUGCUGCUCUAUUAUAUCAUGAAUAUUUUUAAAAUACCAAAGCAGCAAUGUUAUGCAGUGGGAGAAACGAAAGUAUGUAAUGUGGGUGAGUUAUUGCGCUCUCUCUCUCUCUCUCUCUCUCUGUGUGUGUGUGUGUGUGUGUUACACAUCAGGAAUUCAUAACCUAUAAUGGAUUUUAAAAGCAAGGUGUGAAAAACCAUACUUUUAGCUUUAGUGGCUGGGAUUUAACUGGUACCCUUAUACUCACAGAAGGGAUCCAGUCGAGGCAUCUGCUUACAGAGGAGUGGGGGAUUUUUGCCUUUUUAUCCUUCCAUGUGUAACUCUCCCUGACACCACUGGUUCUGGAUGGCCCCUUAACUCUCAGGAGCUGAUUGUCAGGGGGCUGUUAGUGCAGGGGUAGGGAACCUAUGGCCCUUGAAACAUUGGACUCCCAACUCCCAUUAGCCCCAACCAGUAUGAGAAGUGGUCAGGGAUGAUGGGAGUUGGAGCCCAAGAACAUCUGCAUGGCCUGGAAGGCCGCAGGUUCCUCUUAUGUUAGCAGAUGCCUUUUCUGCAUCGUAAGCCAUUUCAUGAAUGCAAGGGCAGAACUUAGACUCAGUCCCCUUAAAUCAGAGAAAAACAUCACAAUACUCAAUAUAAUGAAGGUAUGUUGUACACUUUCUUGGAAAAACAGCCUGAAGAUCCUAAUUGCAGAAAGUUGGAGCAAGCAUUGAAUAAAGGUUUUUCAGUAAUACUGUUUUUAAAGGCCAAUAGGUCUGAGCCAUUACAAAAAUGUCCCAUUGAACAAAGUUAAAUGAAGAAUCAAGGACACCAGCUAUCACUAAGAGUACCUUCUCUUAGCAAAUAAGUAACAAAGACUCCAGUUUCCGUAACAGAAUGUCUGGUUUUCGGUUUGUUUGUUUUAGAAAACAUGAAUAGAGGCUGUUUACUGUGAAAAGGAGCAAACAAGAAUAUUAGAUAAGAUGACAUAUUGACAAAUCUCAGCCUGGAAUUCAUUAAACACUUUUAAAGGCAGUAUUUAAAUAGAUAACCAGGGCCUGUCAGGUCAAGGAUAGGAAUCCAUGUGCCAUGCAAAUAUACGAGUCCAACUGUUUACAGUAUAGCAAGAAAAUGAGGCACAGUCCUUUGAGAACUAGGGCAGGAAUGAAUAGGCUCAGGGUUCUUUCAGCAAGCUUGUGUGUGUUGCAAUGGUCAACAUAACUAUGACUAAAGAAAGCAGACCAUAUAUCCAUCUAGUGCAAUACAGUUGACACUGACUGGCAGCAGCUCUCCAGGGUUUCAUGCAGGGGUCCCUCUAUAUACCUGGGAUUGAACCUGGAACUUUUUGUGUGUAAAGCAAGCAUUCUGCCACUGAGCUAAACUCUUUCCUAGUUGCAAUUCCAGGUUGCACAACUGUUCAGCCAGUUCCUGAUUUUCACAUCACAACUAACCUUCCUUGAGUUACCUCCCCUUCUUAACACAAAACUGCUCCAGAACAAGUUUUGAGGAUAAGAAGCAAACAGCCCACAGCCAAUAGGAUAUGUUUUUAUUCUAAUCUUCAAAGUAACAAACUCUGCAGUGAAUUCCUUUAGUGGGCCUGGGGUGGGAAGCUCCUGAAAUUGUUUUCUGAGAAACAUCUGAUUGUUUAGAAAAUACAUUUUUUGACCCUGGAAAGUCAUUCAGAAAACACAAAAUAUUUGUACACAGUCUCUUAACAGUGGACAGAUUUCUGGGCCCUCUUCUUGCCAUAUCAGUCCUUAGAUGCAACUGCAAAUGACAACACUGCACAGUGGGAUUUGUUUAUAAAAGCCUUUGUUUACAGAAAUCCUUAAUUUGCCAAAUUCUAGUUUCUUGGAUAGUGGUUUAAACGCAACAUUCCUUAUAUCAUUUUGCUCUCUACUUCCAUGAGUAGGCCACACUAAUAUAAAUACGGGGGGGGGGGGGCACACAAACAUCCAUGUUAGACAGAAGGAACAUAAGCAAUACUGCCAACGUUUGCUAGAGCAGUCUCAUCACCACCCCUGCUCCAGAUGUUACAGAAAUUAGCACGGGGCUUAAGUUGAAUUCUGUAUAUACUUGUCAGGCCACUGGAUUCAAUAGGACUUAUUUCUGAGUAGACAUGGCUAGGAUUGCAUUGUUGAACAGUUUUUAAUUUAACUAUUUGCACCAUAUCAAUCCUGCAUUUCCUUUCCCUACAAUAGAUCCCUUUAUGAACCUUAGGUAGGAAAUGCAAAUCUCUUUUCCAGUGACAGCAAGGUUAGGGCAUACAAUUUCAAUUACUGUAGUGAGCAAGCACUCAUAACAAAGAGAAAUAAUAAUUAAAAGUUCCACCCAGCCUUCUCUUCCUGUUCUGAUUACAAUCUUCCAUGUGCAGGACAAAAGUAGUGGAAGUAGAAUUCAGUUGUAAACAUGUAAAUAACACAUCCUCUUGGCAACAUGACCACUGCCUAAAAAAGCUAAUUUGCUCUGUCCUUGUUUUUUGGGACUGAAUUCUGGGUUGUUGUUGUAUUAAAGAAAACAUUAGGGCUAGGAAGAUAGACCAACAGGAGAAGUUAAAAGCAAGGAUUCCAUGUGUCAAUCCAAUUGUGGGUUUGGUUUUUUUUUUGUUUGGUUUUUUGUAAAUACAGGUUUGCUAGAAUCAGACUUUGGGAAAUUCGGUACUACUGUCUCCUCAAAUCAAGUAAUAAUUAUUUAAAUAUUUUUUUACAAUGCACUUUAAAAAAGGAUCUUGGAACAACUUACAGAUAAUAAGUAAUAUAGUCACUGCUCUCAGGUUUGCCAAGUUAAAAGACAAGAUCAAAAUGCAAAAAACAAAACAAAACCAUAUUAGGGUAACACCUUCAGGCAACCAAAAUAAUGUGCAAGCUUUCAAGUUCUUUUAUCCGGCUAGGUGGGGAAUCUUUUCAGCCAGACAGCUGUAGUCUCCUGGACAUUCUCCAGAGAGCCAUGCACCAGUGGUAAGCAGCCCUAGCAGCAGAAGUGGACAGAACAUCAAAUGUAAAUUUUGCCAUUGUACCAUAGGCUGGUUUCUACACACCCUCCCUCUUGUCCAUCCAGACAAGCAAGAGAAAUUCCAAUCAAGCAAAAAAUACUUGGGAGUUUGAAGCAGGACCUGGAUGGUAAACAGAGUAAUGGGGGAGGGAGUUGGGUGACACGGACACCACGGAAUCAGCAUUGGGGCACGCAAGGAUAAGGAAAUGCGGAGGGUGGAGGAAAACAGAAAGCUUGAGCACUAGCUACAAUUCUUAUAAGGACUUGCUGGAACGAAAACAGGGCAGUCAAUGCAAUGACUGUCACUAGAUGGCAGUUAAAGGGAGGGCCAGAAAAAAAGCUAGCCUCUCAGCAGAGUUGAUGGGACUAGUCCUGCUUCUUUUCUCUACUUCUGCUCCGCAGUUUGAAGGACUCCAGCCGGCAGAAUAGCCGGCAGAAUUUAAAGCAACAUUUCAUGCUGCAGAUUUGACAGGCAGAAAAGGGAUUGUAAACGGACAGCUAGAAGCAAGGAAGGCAGAUGGGAUAGGUGCGCACAGGGCUGGGUAAUGGCUUGCCAAAACAAAUGGAAUUGGAAAGCGCUGCAUAUUGAAUUGAUUUUAAAUAGCAGCACAAACUUACACGUGCCUACUCAAAAGUCAAUCCAUUGACUCCAAUGCAGUCUCCCCUACCCCCUCGAUGAGCAGAGGAUUCUCGCUUACAGCGCAAUCCCUAUAUAUGUCUACUCGGAAGCAAGUAGGUACAGGACUGCGGCCGUGAAUAACGAAAUCAAACCCACGGACGUGGUCGCGCGCGACCGAUGCCUGCACCAGAACUUGACACGGAGCUUUCAAGCUACGAGGCUGCGCCUGACAACUGAUCUUGAGCCUUUGGCUCCUGCUAGCGGAACCGCCGGGCCCCUUACGAGGCUGCAGGCCGCAGAGAUGCUGCAGGCGCAGCCUUCCCCGGUCGCUGCUCCGCCAAAGGAACAGGGAGGCUCCACCUGUUGGGUUUCCGCAACCCAAAGGGGAGCCUCGACGCCCGCCGCCUGCAACCGGAA
Molecule: non-coding RNA, 4350 nt
Organism: Podarcis lilfordi (Lilford's wall lizard)
Lineage: Eukaryota; Metazoa; Chordata; Lepidosauria; Squamata; Lacertidae
Source: the annotation of a GenBank genome assembly